This 388-nucleotide long non-coding RNA is filed under the name Mytilus galloprovincialis (Mediterranean mussel). Lineage: Eukaryota; Metazoa; Mollusca; Bivalvia; Mytilida; Mytilidae. The record is from RNAcentral.
CAUAUUCAUAAAAUGUUGGAAAUCACAUUGUAAAUUUUUCUUGAGCCUCUUCUGUUUUUUAGUGGAUUUUCCAAGUAAAACGUUAUCAAAGGUACCAGGAUUAUAAUUUAAUACCUCAGAUGCGUGUUUUGUCUACAUAAGACUCAUCAGUGAUGCUCAGAUAAAAAAAGUUGUAAAGCCAAACAAGUACAAAGUUGAAGAGCAUUGAGGACCCAAAAUUCCAAAAUGUUGUUCCACUUAUGGCUAAGGUAAUCUAUUCCUGGGAUAAGAAAAUCCUUAGUUUUUUUUCAAAAAAUUCAAAGUUUUGUAAGCAGGAAAUUUAUAAAAAUGACCAUAUAAUUGAUAUUAAUAUCUGUCAUUGAUUUGUUGAUGUACUGCAGGUGGGCGG